GAAGAGGUGGUCGAGUGGUCCAAGGCGCCGCAACCGAUGUGUCAUUUUAUUGAGUCUUCUUGGAUUCAAGAAGUGCGGUCUGUUCCAAGAACAGUCGUGGGUUCAAAUCCCACCCUCUUCU
Molecule: transfer RNA, 121 nt
Filed under: Linnemannia elongata AG-77
Lineage: Eukaryota; Fungi; Mortierellomycota; Mortierellomycetes; Mortierellales; Mortierellaceae
Description: Mortierella elongata AG-77 tRNA
Rfam family: tRNA
About the family: Transfer RNA (tRNA) molecules are approximately 80 nucleotides in length. Their secondary structure includes four short double-helical elements and three loops (D, anti-codon, and T loops). Further hydrogen bonds mediate the characteristic L-shaped molecular structure. tRNAs have two regions of fundamental functional importance: the anti-codon, which is responsible for specific mRNA codon recognition, and the 3' end, to which the tRNAs corresponding amino acid is attached (by aminoacyl-tRNA synthetases). tRNAs cope with the degeneracy of the genetic code in two manners: having more than one tRNA (with a specific anti-codon) for a particular amino acid; and 'wobble' base-pairing, i.e. permitting non-standard base-pairing at the 3rd anti-codon position.
Source: Rfam by way of RNAcentral